RNAcentral lists this unclassified non-coding RNA (20 nucleotides) under Chlamydomonas reinhardtii. Its description in RNAcentral is "small RNA Cre_3392". Lineage: Eukaryota; Viridiplantae; Chlorophyta; Chlorophyceae; Chlamydomonadales; Chlamydomonadaceae. The record is from RNAcentral.
UGGGGGCACCCGGGCGGCGG